CCUACGGGAGGCAGCAGUGAGGAAUAUUGGUCAAUGGACGCAAGUCUGAACCAGCCAAGUAGCGUGCAGGAUGACGGCCCUAUGGGUUGUAAACUGCUUUUGUACGGGGAUAAAACCCGCCACGUGUGUCGGGUUGCAAGUACCGUACGAAUAAGGAUCGGCUAACUCCGUGCCAGCAGCCGCGGUAAUACGGAGGAUCCGAGCGUUAUCCGGAUUUAUUGGGUUUAAAGGGUGCGUAGGCGGUUCGUUAAGUUAGGUGGGAAAUUCCGCGGCUCAACCCAAGCACUGCAUUUGAUACUGGCAGGCUAGAGUUCAGUUGAGGUAGGCGGAAUGCGUGGUGUAGCGGUGAAAUGCAUAGAGAUCACGAAGAACCCCGAUUGCGAAGGCAGCUUACCAAACUGCGACUGACGUUGAGGCUCGAAAGUGUGGGUAUCAAACAGGAUUAGAUACCCGAGUAGUC
Molecule: ribosomal RNA, 460 nt
Filed under: uncultured bacterium
Lineage: Bacteria
Description: partial 16S ribosomal RNA
Rfam family: Bacterial small subunit ribosomal RNA
Source: RNAcentral